CCCUGCUAUUGCUAUAUCCCAGUCAUUUUUCUCAUUAUACCAUGUCUUUGUAACAGCGACUAAAUCUACAUUAUCAGCUGCCAUUAUUGCCACAAGUUCAUGGAUCUUAUUCCCUAAACUGCGAGCAUUUGUAGACAUGACUCCAAGCUUAUCAUUUUUUAACACACUUGCUACAGGCACAUUCUGUCCUUGUUUUGGGGGGCAAUUGGA
This is a non-coding RNA of Pelobates cultripes (western spadefoot toad), 210 nucleotides long. The record is from the annotation of a GenBank genome assembly. Lineage: Eukaryota; Metazoa; Chordata; Amphibia; Anura; Pelobatidae.